GAUGAACGCUGGCGGUAUGCUUAACACAUGCAAGUCGAACGGACUCUUCGGAGUUAGUGGCGGACGGGUGAGUAACGCGUGAGAAUCUGGCUUUGGGUUCGGGACAACCACUGGAAACGGUGGCUAAUACCGGAUGUGCCGAGAGGUAAAAGAGAAAUUGCCUGCAGAUGAGCUCGCGUCUGAUUAGCUAGUUGGUGAGGUAAGGGCUCACCAAGGCAGCGAUCAGUAGCUGGUCUGAGAGGAUGACCAGCCACACUGGGACUGAGACACGGCCCAGACUCCUACGGGAGGCAGCAGUGGGGAAUGUUCCGCAAUGGGCGAAAGCCUGACGGAGCAAUACCGCGUGAGGGAAGAAGGCUCUUGGGUUGUAAACCUCUUUUCUUAGGGAAGAACAAAAUGACGGUACCUAAGGAAUCAGCAUCGGCUAACUCCAUG
This 435-nucleotide ribosomal RNA is filed under the name uncultured bacterium. RNAcentral's name for it is "partial 16S ribosomal RNA". It matches the Rfam family "Bacterial small subunit ribosomal RNA", at positions 28 to 507 of the family's 1533-position model. The record is from RNAcentral.